RNAcentral lists this ribosomal RNA (253 nucleotides) under uncultured microorganism. RNAcentral describes it as "partial 16S ribosomal RNA". It matches the Rfam family "Bacterial small subunit ribosomal RNA", at positions 524 to 776 of the family's 1533-position model. The record is from RNAcentral.
UACGUAGGUGGCGAGCGUUAUCCGGAAUUACUGGGCGUAAAGCGUGCGCAGGCGGCCCGUUAAGACAGGUGUGAAAUCCCUGGGCUCAACCUAGGAAUUGCGCUUGUGACUGGCGGGCUCGAGUACGGUAGAGGUGGGUGGAAUUCCUGGUGUAGCAGUGAAAUGCGUAGAGAUCAGGAGGAACACCGAUGGCGAAGGCAGCCCCCUGGGCCUGUACUGACGCUCAUGCACGAAAGCGUGGGGAGCAAACAGG